UGGGGAAUUUUGGACAAUGGGGGCAACCCUGAUCCAGCAAUGCCGCGUGUGUGAAGAAGGCCUUCGGGUUGUAAAGCACUUUUGUCCGGAAAGAAAACGCCGUGGUUAAUACCCGUGGCGGAUGACGGUACCGGAAGAAUAAGCACCGGCUAACUACGUGCCAGCAGCCGCGGUAAUACGUAGGGUGCAAGCGUUAAUCGGAAUUACUGGGCGUAAAGCGUGCGCAGGCGGUCCGCUAAGACAGAUGUGAAAUCCCCGGGCUUAACCUGGGAACUGCAUUUGUGACUGGCGGGCUAGAGUAUGGCAGAGGGGGGUAGAAUUCCACGUGUAGCAGUGAAAUGCGUAGAGAUGUGGAGGAAUACCGAUGGCGAAGGCAGCCCCCUGGGCCAAUACUGACGCUCAUGCACGAAAGCGUGGGGGAGCAAACAGGAUUAGAUACCCUGGUAGUCCACGCCCUAAACGAUGUCAACUAGUUGUUGGGGAUUUCAUUUUCCUUAGUAACGUAGCUAACCGCGUGAAGUUGACCGCCUGGGGGA
Molecule: ribosomal RNA, 536 nt
Filed under: uncultured bacterium
Lineage: Bacteria
Description: partial 16S ribosomal RNA
Rfam family: Bacterial small subunit ribosomal RNA
Source: RNAcentral